UCCAGACUCCUACGGGAGGCAGCAGUAGGGAAUUUUCGUCAAUGGGCUCAAGCCUGAACGAGCGAUGCCGCGUGAGUGAAGAAGGCCUUCGGGUCGUAAAGCUCUGUUGCGGGGGAAAAAAGGCAGCAUCAGGAAAUGGGUGCUGACUGAUGGUGCCCCGCCAGAAAGUCACGGCUAACUACGUGCCAGCAGCCGCGGUAAUACGGAGGAUGCGAGCGUUAUCCGGAUUUAUUGGGUUUAAAGGGUGCGCAGGCGGAUUUUUAAGUCAGCGGUCAAAUCGUGGGGCUCAACCCCAUCCAGCCGUUGAAACUGGGGAUCUAGAGUGUGCGAGAGGUAUGCGGAAUGCGUGGUGUAGCGGUGAAAUGCAUAGAUAUCACGCAGAACCCCGAUUGCGAAGGCAGCAUACCGGUGCACAACUGACGCUCAGGCACGAAAGCGUGGGUAUCGAACAGGAUUAGAUACCCGGGUA
RNAcentral lists this ribosomal RNA (469 nucleotides) under uncultured bacterium. RNAcentral describes it as "bacterial SSU rRNA". It matches the Rfam family "Bacterial small subunit ribosomal RNA", at positions 330 to 792 of the family's 1533-position model. The record is from RNAcentral.